Long non-coding RNA from Salvia miltiorrhiza (redroot sage), 518 nucleotides. RefSeq lists it as uncharacterized. The transcript has 2 exons. The record is from RefSeq and is a predicted model, not a curated record. NCBI's taxonomy places the organism in Eukaryota, Viridiplantae, Streptophyta, Magnoliopsida, Lamiales, Lamiaceae.
CAUUCUAUUAGUGGCUAAUUUAGGAUAUGCAUUUCAGGUUGGGGAUGAGGUGCUUUUGAAAAGCUUAUUCAAUUCUAGAAAAGCUGUGGCAAAAGGUCGUAUUCGUAGUGUUGAUCCAAAUCAAGAAGUUGGAGGAAAACGACUUGGACUACAAUGGUGUGAAGUUCAAGUUUCAGUUCCAAUAGAAUGGGAUGAAGAACUGAUUAGGCCGUAUUCGAAUUUGUCUACAAUUGGAGACGCAAUCGGAACAUGCGUUGCAUGGCCUCACCACUUGGUGAAAGCCGAUGAUUUGGAUUGAUGAGAUGCUGAAAUAGCUUUAAAAGUGAAGCCUAGCUAGAGGUCUCAUUCUAAAAGAAAGUGAACUGAUGAGCAGAAACUCAUUCUAAAACAGUUGAUAUCAAUAUAGACAAUAUGUAAUAAGUUUUUUACUCAUGAUUGAGUAGUUAUUCCUUCAACAGAAUAUUCAUUAGUGAUGUUUGAAAUUUUAGAUUUGAAAUAAAGCAUUUUAUAUUGGGAUU